GGAGUGCUGCGCGGUGCGUGGGCCGCAAGAACCCUGGGGCCAAUGCUCUCCUCUAGGGAGCUGUUCCUGGUCUUGACCCUGGUCUUGAUCACACGGCGCCCACCUGCGUUUGCAGGCCACAGAGGUUAAGCCGGGCUUUCACGGCCAUCGUGGCGCCGCC
Molecule: non-coding RNA, 160 nt
Filed under: Alphaproteobacteria bacterium
Lineage: Bacteria; Pseudomonadati; Pseudomonadota; Alphaproteobacteria
Description: 6S RNA
Rfam family: 6S / SsrS RNA
About the family: E. coli 6S RNA was the first non coding RNA to be sequenced, but its function was unknown until recently. It consists of 184 nucleotides that fold into an extended hairpin structure with a large single-stranded internal bulge. The 6S RNA specifically associates with RNA polymerase holoenzyme containing the sigma70 specificity factor.
Source: RNAcentral